GUAAUGCGUGACCAACCUGCCCCAUGCUCCAGAAUAGCUCUUGGAAACGGGUGGUAAUGCUGGAUGCUCCAACUUGACGCAUGUCUUGUUGGGAAAGUGUUUAGUGGCAUGGGAUGGGGUCGCGUCCUAUCAGCUUGUAGGCGGGGUAAUGGCCCACCUAGGCUUCGACGGGUAGCCGGCCUGAGAGGGCGGACGGCCACAUUGGGACUGAGAUACGGCCCAGACUCCUACGGGAGGCAGCAGC
Molecule: ribosomal RNA, 244 nt
Filed under: uncultured Gardnerella sp.
Lineage: Bacteria; Bacillati; Actinomycetota; Actinomycetes; Bifidobacteriales; Bifidobacteriaceae
Description: partial 16S ribosomal RNA
Rfam family: Bacterial small subunit ribosomal RNA
Source: RNAcentral